GAUCCUGGCUCAGAUUGAACGCUGGCGGCAGGCCUAACACAUGCAAGUCGAGCGGUAGAGAGAAGCUUGCUUCUCUUGAGAGCGGCGGACGGGUGAGUAAUACCUAGGAAUCUGCCUGAUAGUGGGGAUAACGUUCAGAAACGGACGCUAAUACCGCAUACGUCCUACGGGAGAAAGCAGGGGACCUUCGGGCCUUGCGCUAUCAGAUGAGCCUAGGUCGGAUUAGCUAGUUGGUGAGGUAAUGGCUCACCAAGGCUACGAUCCGUAACUGGUCUGAGAGGAUGAUCAGUCACACUGGAACUGAGACACGGUCCAGACUCCUACGGGAGGCAGCAGUGGGGAAUAUUGGACAAUGGGCGAAAGCCUGAUCCAGCCAUGCCGCGUGUGUGAAGAAGGUCUUCGGAUUGUAAAGCACUUUAAGUUGGGAGGAAGGGCAUUAACCUAAUACGUUGGUGUCUUGACGUUACCGACAGAAUAAGCACCGGCUAACUCUGUG
RNAcentral lists this ribosomal RNA (496 nucleotides) under uncultured bacterium. Its description in RNAcentral is "bacterial SSU rRNA". It matches the Rfam family "Bacterial small subunit ribosomal RNA", at positions 15 to 507 of the family's 1533-position model. The record is from RNAcentral.